GGAGUUCUUACCAGUCAAAAGUUAGGAUCUUUACUCGGUUAUGGUAUUUCGUUUUAAGUUUCGUUUCAGAAAAAGUGUCUUCAGUAAAAAUUCAAUAUCUCUCUCAAUUUCGAUCCAUUUUAAAAGAUCUUUAUCUCGUUUUAAAGCUUAGGAAAAUAGCUACAUUUUUUAUGAAGAAAGUAUUGUCUAGAUCAGGGUGUAACUAUUUUUAAAACAUUUAUUUUUAGGCUGUAUUCAGAAAUCGGCGUGAUCCAGGAUUUUAAAGAAACUGUUUUGAGAAAACAUGCAUAACUCCUAGAUUAUAGCUCCGAUUUUGAUGAUCUUUAUACCGUUAGAAAGGUCUUUCAAUUAACUAAAAACUUUGUGAACAGUAGGACUUCUAAUUCAAACGUUUUAUAUGUCAAAUUCUAGGUUAAACUUGCUGUACAGUAAGAGUAAUAAAUAUAUUGAGUUUAUCGGUGGACUAAGGGUUUCACUAAUUGUUAUAGGGCCUAGAAGGUAUCGUAAGAGUUAAUUACAGCGGAGUUGAGAUAAGUAAGCCUGUAAGCUUUCGGUGACAAGUUGAGUCUGGGCAGCAUGGGGUGUAUCUCGUGUGAUCAUGUAACUGCGUGUGGUCUUGGCCAUCUUCCGCUGAAAGUUUUUUUUUUUUAAUUUAUUAAACUUAUCGAGGAUGUUGUCGUUUAAAUUUUCUAUUACUUUUCCCUAAGUGGUAAUACUUUAUUUUCAACUGGGUACCCAUGUUUUGAAAAGUGUUUUUUUUUUAAAUAAAGGCAACAUUAGUAUCUUAACGCCAGUUUAUUUAUGGCAUCUUAUUUUACGUAAGUAAGGGCGUUACAAAUGGUACCAGAGCCACAGUUACAUUGAUCUUGAAUUCACGCGACAUACACACCAUCGCUGCAAAGGAUCAACUUGUCAUCAAGUAUGUAUGCUUUAUAUAUGUUAU
Long non-coding RNA from Cannabis sativa, 943 nucleotides. RefSeq lists it as uncharacterized. The record is from RefSeq and is a predicted model, not a curated record. The transcript has 2 exons. NCBI's taxonomy places the organism in Eukaryota, Viridiplantae, Streptophyta, Magnoliopsida, Rosales, Cannabaceae.